AAAAAGAGGAUUCACAGUUCCAUGACAAGAAGCAAAAGAAAACAGGAAAAUUUAUAGAAUUCUGUAGAAACGUAUUCUAUAAAUUCUGUUGUUGUCACUGUAAUACAGCAGAGAUUUCCGAUUCGCAGAAUUGUCAAUCGGAAGAUUCUCAAUUCGGAGUUGAUUCUUCAAAAAUUAAUAAAGACAUUAUUAAUGACUAUGAAUUUCAAGAAAUUGGAAAGGGGACUUUUGGAACAGUUUAUUUGGCUCGCUGCGGAAACUCUGACCAAAACGUGGCUUUGAAAGUCGUCGAGAGAAAGCGCUUUUCUCUUGCACAGAGGCGCGAAUUGAAUAAAGAACGAAAAGCGUGGGCAACCGUAUCGAGCCAUCCCCACAUCGUCUCUUUAAUAUGUUUCUUCAAAACAAAUACCAG
Long non-coding RNA from Centruroides sculpturatus (bark scorpion), 412 nucleotides. RefSeq lists it as uncharacterized. Lineage: Eukaryota; Metazoa; Arthropoda; Arachnida; Scorpiones; Buthidae. The record is from RefSeq and is a predicted model, not a curated record. The transcript is spliced from 3 exons.